This 916-nucleotide long non-coding RNA is filed under the name Olea europaea subsp. europaea. The record is from RNAcentral. Lineage: Eukaryota; Viridiplantae; Streptophyta; Magnoliopsida; Lamiales; Oleaceae.
AAGAUCUUUCCCUCCUUACUCCUCACAAAAGUAUUAGUUAUCAAUGGGACAAGCCAAUAAAAGACUUAUGGAGAGGAGAGGGGACAUAGCCUUUAUAUAGGAAAUAAUUGAACCGCCCCAUUACGACUAGAAUUCUAAUUAGGGUUUAUUUUCGACCCACAUACUUUAAAUUGCCACAUCAAAUUAAUUAUAACCCGUAAGGUAUAAAAUGCACAAUUGAUCACUUAAUAAAUUUGGUCAAAACACAAAUAUCAUUAUGAACUAUACAUCUAACCGGUAAAAUUUACAAUCGAAUGUGAAGCCCACGUAUGAAAUUAUUAAUUAUUCCAACACGACCACCUCAAAUCCACCAUUUCCUUCGCCUCUACCAAAAAACAACUAGCACCACCAACUUCGCCAUUACCUCAGAGCACCGCAAAUACCACCACAAAUACAGCCACCACCACAACUACACAAAACCAACAAAAAUCAAUCCAAAUUUUUCGGGCACCAAAUCGCGAUCAGAUCUUGACCAAAAUUUCCCAAUAUCGCGACCAAAAAAAUUCACACGACCAACAAAAUUCCAGCACCAAAUUGCAACCAAAUUUUCCCUAGAUCCCCCAUCAUUCACCGCUACGCAUCGUCGCACUACAGCAAUGAUGUCACAAUGUGUACAGUGGCUGCUACACAGCGUCGCUAACACCGCGGGCAACGAUGACUUGUCAUCGGGGCAACGACAUCCAAGGUGACAUCCAACGAAAGUUUUCGAAAUCUGGAGAUGGAAGAGAAUGAAAGAUGUUAGAGAGAGAGAAUAUAGGGUAGAGGAUAGAGAGAGGGAAGAGAAUAGGAAAAUGAUUAGGGUUUUGGAAUAGGUGGGAUGAAUAUAUAUAUUUAGUCUUGUAAUAUAAUUUCUGAUUUAUGAAAUAGUAAACUUAGC